This 452-nucleotide ribosomal RNA is filed under the name uncultured bacterium. RNAcentral describes it as "bacterial SSU rRNA". It matches the Rfam family "Bacterial small subunit ribosomal RNA", at positions 29 to 523 of the family's 1533-position model. The record is from RNAcentral.
AACGAACGCUGGCGGCAUGCCUAACACAUGCAAGUCGAACGAGACCUUCGGGUCUAGUGGCGCACGGGUGCGUAACGCGUGAGAAUCUGCCCUUGGGUUCGGAAUAACAGCGAGAAAUUGCUGCUAAUACCGGAUGAUGACGUAAGUCCAAAGAUUUAUCGCCCAAGGAUGAGCCCGCGUAGGAUUAGCUAGUUGGUGAGGUAAAGGCUCACCAAGGCGACGAUCCUUAGCUGGUCUGAGAGGAUGAUCAGCCACACUGGGACUGAGACACGGCCCAGACUCCUACGGGAGGCAGCAGUGGGGAAUAUUGGACAAUGGGCGAAAGCCUGAUCCAGCAAUGCCGCGUGAGUGAUGAAGGCCUUAGGGUUGUAAAGCUCUUUUACCCGGGAUGAUAAUGACAGUACCGGGAGAAUAAGACUCCGGGCUAACCUCCGUGCCAGCAGCCGCGGUAA